CCUACGGGAGGCAGCAGUAGGGAAUUUUCGGCAAUGGGGGGAACCCUGACCGAGCAACGCCGCGUGAACGAAGAAGUUAUUCGUAAUGUAAAGUUCUUUUUACAGGGAAGAAAGAGAAAUUUGACGGUACCUGAAGAAUAAGCCCCGGCUAACUACGUGCCAGCAGCCGCGGUAAUACGUAGGGAGCGAGCGUUAUCCGGAAUUAUUGGGCGAAAAGGGUGCGUAGAUGGCAUAGUAAGUCUUUUGUAAAAAUGCUGGGCUCAACCCAGUAGGGCAAAAGAUACUGCAAGGCUAGAGUAUGACAGAGGCAAGUGGAACUACAUGUGUAGCGGUAAAAUGCGUAAAGAUAUGUAAGAACACCAGUGGCGAAGGCGGCUUGCUGGGUCGAUACUGACAUUGAGGCACGAAAGCGUGGGGAGCAAACAGGAUUAGAUACCCUGGUAGUC
Molecule: ribosomal RNA, 446 nt
Filed under: uncultured bacterium
Lineage: Bacteria
Description: partial 16S ribosomal RNA
Rfam family: Bacterial small subunit ribosomal RNA
Source: RNAcentral